GCUCCAAUAGCGUAUAUUAAUGUUGUUGCAGUUAAAAAGCUCGUAGUUGGAUUUCUGGGUUCUUCGCUAGCUUUGGUCCGCAAGGGCUUCAGUGGGCUGUUUGAAUCCAUCCUCAGGGGGACUUAUGCUGGUAUUUAUUUAUCGGUGUAGGAACGCCUGUCGUUUACUGUGAACAAUUAGAGUGUUCAAAGCAAGGUGUA
Molecule: ribosomal RNA, 200 nt
Filed under: uncultured eukaryote
Lineage: Eukaryota
Description: partial 18S ribosomal RNA
Rfam family: Eukaryotic small subunit ribosomal RNA
Source: RNAcentral